RNAcentral lists this ribosomal RNA (585 nucleotides) under Nitzschia supralitorea. RNAcentral describes it as "partial large subunit ribosomal RNA". It matches the Rfam family "Eukaryotic large subunit ribosomal RNA", at positions 32 to 671 of the family's 3401-position model. The record is from RNAcentral. Lineage: Eukaryota; Bacillariophyta; Bacillariophyceae; Bacillariales; Bacillariaceae.
AUUUAAGCAUAUAAUUAAGCGGAGGAAAAGAAACUAACUAGGAUUCCCUCAGUAAGGGCGACUGAAGCGGGAAGAGCUCAGGAUGUGAAUCUGUGUUUCCCUGUUGGAACACCGAAUUGUGGUCUGUAGACUGUGACGUUAUCCUUCCGGGCCAAGUCCCUUGGAAAAGGGCAGCAUAGAGGGUGACACUCCCGUGGGCCUGGUGGAAUGAGUUACAUGUCGACGAGUCGAGUUGUUUGGGAUUGCAGCUCUAAUUGGGUGGUAAAUUCCAUCUAAAGCAGAAUAUUGGUGGGAGACCGAUAGCGUACAAGUACCGUGAGGGAAAGAUGCAAAGAACUUUGAAAAGAGAGUUAAAGAGUACCUGAAAUUGCUGAAACGGAAGCGAAGGAAACCAGUGUUUGUUGGUCUUGUCAUACUUCCCUUGCUGCUUGCGGUUUGGGCGCUGUGGCUUGGCUGUUAGUCUGCCUUGGUUGGUUGUGGUGGAAGGGCGCCGUCAGAGUUGAUGACGUGUUGCCGUGCAUGACAUCUGACUGAGUUUGCAUACGAAAUGGUUUUCUUUACCCCGUCUUGAAACACGGACCAAGG